GGGGAUAUAGCUCAGUUGGUAGAGUGCUUGCCUCACAUGCACAAGGCCCCGAGUUCAAUUUCCAGUACCACCA
This 73-nucleotide transfer RNA is filed under the name Ictidomys tridecemlineatus (thirteen-lined ground squirrel). Its description in RNAcentral is "Spermophilus tridecemlineatus (thirteen-lined ground squirrel) tRNA". It matches the Rfam family "tRNA". Rfam says of the family: Transfer RNA (tRNA) molecules are approximately 80 nucleotides in length. Their secondary structure includes four short double-helical elements and three loops (D, anti-codon, and T loops). Further hydrogen bonds mediate the characteristic L-shaped molecular structure. tRNAs have two regions of fundamental functional importance: the anti-codon, which is responsible for specific mRNA codon recognition, and the 3' end, to which the tRNAs corresponding amino acid is attached (by aminoacyl-tRNA synthetases). tRNAs cope with the degeneracy of the genetic code in two manners: having more than one tRNA (with a specific anti-codon) for a particular amino acid; and 'wobble' base-pairing, i.e. permitting non-standard base-pairing at the 3rd anti-codon position. Lineage: Eukaryota; Metazoa; Chordata; Mammalia; Rodentia; Sciuridae. The record is from Rfam by way of RNAcentral.